GGCUGGUCCAAGUACAGGGAUGUUUACAACUGAUUGAUCACAACCAGUUACAAAUUCUUUGUUCCUUCCCUGCUCCCGCUGCUUCUGUUGACUGGCCUCAA
This 101-nucleotide Y RNA is filed under the name Propithecus coquereli (Coquerel's sifaka). Its description in RNAcentral is "Y RNA (ENSPCOG00000004144.1)". It matches the Rfam family "Y RNA". Rfam says of the family: Y RNAs are components of the Ro ribonucleoprotein particle (Ro RNP), in association with Ro60 and La proteins. Lineage: Eukaryota; Metazoa; Chordata; Mammalia; Primates; Indriidae. The record is from Rfam by way of RNAcentral.